This 199-nucleotide long non-coding RNA is filed under the name Elaeis guineensis (African oil palm). RNAcentral's name for it is "long non-coding RNA (EGUI_LNC066329)". The record is from RNAcentral. Lineage: Eukaryota; Viridiplantae; Streptophyta; Magnoliopsida; Arecales; Arecaceae.
AGUGUUUGACAUUAUGUACUAGAAUACAAUACCAUGUUCCUUUAGAAAUUUUGCUAAUGGUCCUAGCUAUCGUCCUAUCUUUAUAUGUUUAUCAUAGUAUUCAGAUCUAACUAGUUCAAUCACUACUCCUGAUUGUCAUCUAUUUUGAAUUUUUUAAAGGCCAUAAAAAUAUCAGUCUUCUCAAGCAAAAGAUAUAGAU